RNAcentral lists this ribosomal RNA (514 nucleotides) under Candida albicans. RNAcentral's name for it is "eukaryotic LSU rRNA". The stretch from base 145 to 298 matches the Rfam family "5.8S ribosomal RNA". The record is from RNAcentral. Lineage: Eukaryota; Fungi; Ascomycota; Pichiomycetes; Serinales; Debaryomycetaceae.
GUGGCUCUGAUUUGCUUAUUGCACCACAUGUGUUUUUCUUUGAAACAAACUUGCUUUGGCGGUGGGCCCAGCCUGCCGCCAGAGGUCUAAACUUACAACCAAUUUUUUAUCAACUUGUCACACCAGAUUAUUACUAAUAAUCAAAACUUUCAACAACGGAUCUCUUGGUUCUCGCAUCGAUGAAAAACGCAGCGAAAUGCGAUACGUAAUAUGAAUUGCAGAUAUUCGUGAAUCAUCCAAUCUUUGAACGCACAUUGCGCCCUCUGGUAUUCCGGAAGGCAUGCCUGUUUGAGCGUCGUUUCUCCCUCAAACCGCUGGGUUUGGUGUUGAGCAAUACGACUUGGGUUUGCUUGAAAGACGGUAGUGGUAAGGCGGGAUCGCUUUGACAAUGGCUUAAGUCUAACCAAAAACAUUGUUUGCGGCGGUAACGUCCACCACGUAUAUCUUCAAACUUUGACCUCAAAUCAGGUAGGACUACCCGCUGAACUUAAGCAUAUCAAAAAGGGGGAGGAAA